Long non-coding RNA from Hippocampus zosterae (dwarf seahorse), 854 nucleotides. RefSeq lists it as uncharacterized. Lineage: Eukaryota; Metazoa; Chordata; Actinopteri; Syngnathiformes; Syngnathidae. The record is from RefSeq and is a predicted model, not a curated record. The transcript has 4 exons.
GGGCAAGACCGCCACCACCACAAGGGAGAUGCACAAAGCCACACCCCACGGAGGGAAGCCCACCAGCUUCUCCCGAGCCUGCACCGCACACCACUCUUAACGUUAAAACACAAGAGGAACGCUGGGAAACAAACAUUGAGGCAACAUAAGAUUGUGAAUUGAUGAAUGCAGGCAACGAGGCUCCCGACCUGCUCUUGGUUCCAGGCACUGUAACUGGGCGGCGUCAUGAUGAGCUGGACGAAGCUGGAGCCAAGCAGCACCAGCAGCAGCGUGGGCGUUAUGAAUUUCCACAUGUAGUAGUAGAAGCGGUACGGCUUGAAGCCCAGCAUGUCUUCCAGGUCCGCAAAAAACCUGACAGGACCACAUCACAGAACCAGGCAAUGGCCAAGUUCUCCAGGAUGACCACGAUGAGCAGCGGCAGCGUGGCCGAGUAGUCAUCGAACAUGGUCACAAAGUAGUUGCCCGAACGCUGCACGAACACCAGGCCGAGGGAGAAGGCCAGCACGCAGCAGCCCACUGCACCACGAGAGAGAAGGAGCUCCUUGCGCACUUUAAAGGUGUCGAUGAGCGGCGUGAGGAUGCCCUCGAUGGUGCCGAACAUGCUGCCCAGGCCCAAGUUGAUCAGCAUGAGGAAGAACAUGACGGACCAGAAUGGAGAGGCCGGGAAAUGCGUCAUGGCCUCGGUGAAGGCAAUGAAUGCCAGGCCUGUGCCCUGCACCGCCUGCAAGGAGGGAGGGAGGGAGGGAGGGCAGAGUGCGGGUGGGUAACCCCCAGUGGAUGCUUAGCACUUACUCCCAAAAUUAACAUUUUGCUAUUUUUCUUGGAAAAAUGCAACUUUUUCAUGAAAAAUAUGA